CGUGUUUCCAUUGCUGUUAAUUGCUAACUCGCUUUGUCUCCAGUCUACUUGACUUGUGUCUCUGUGCGUCCGUUUUCCACUGCAAGGCGAGCCGGGGCUGGUCAUCAUUUUGCCACGGCCAGUAGGAAAAUUAAUUUCUAAAUGAACCUGGAGGCAGCAAAAAAAAAACGCUCGAUAAACUUGUUACCGGUAAACACGGCGGGUUUGUUCAGGACACCCCCAGCUCGACUGAGUUUGUAAGAAAAGAGUAUUGGCAGGAGGUUGUGAAUGAAGCACCACCAGUCACUAACCUAGAAGAUCAAUGGCCUGCUCUUUUAAUGCAGCUCAGGAUGAGUCUUUGGAAAAAAGGAGAGGUGGCUUAAUGGUGUAUCUAAAAGAAAAGGAGGAGGAUCUCUUCAAAAAGUUGGAUGGUGGAGAGAUUGUCAGUGAAGUGAUGAAGAAUGAAGUCAUAUCCAGAGGUGCCACCAUGUCUGAUUAAACCAGCGCGAGGAUCUUCAUUGAUGGAACAGAAGUCCUGCAAAACCUGUACGUACCCAGAGCAUGUGCCUUGCUAAUGGGGCUCAUAUACGGACUCAACCUCAGCUACCCAAAAGAAGGGAAAGAUACUUUUGAGGUAUUUCAAAAGAUAUUCCUCAAACUGGAUGGGCUGAAAGCCAGUCUGAAGGUUAUGACUUUAAAAAGUAGACUGCUAUGCUAAAAAUUUGAAGAAUUAGACUGUCCUCCAAUUUAACAACAUGGUGCAUGGUGUUUUUUAUUGUAUUCUUUAACAUGCACAGUGAAUGAAGCACCGGAUUCAGGGGAUUGGGCCUCCAAAAUUUACAUAAUAAUUUGAACAUGUUCUUUUUAAGGACAACUUAGAAGCUCCCAAAUACACUUUUAAUUUUCAUUAAAGGGAAGCUUCGUUCUUUUUCAACCUGUCUCUGUCUGUCUAAGGGAAGAAUAUCUUUAAUUGGCCCAGUAUUAACAGAGAGUGCAUCAGCUGGCAGUUCCAAAAUGAGCUAAGACAUACUUUUUUAGGAGACUUGGUUUUACACAGCCAAAACAAGUGAAGGGAAAGGUUUUCCAUACUGUUGUCAGGAUUUACAGUGACCACCUGAGCCUGUUAGAGG
Molecule: long non-coding RNA, 1109 nt
Organism: Etheostoma cragini (Arkansas darter)
Lineage: Eukaryota; Metazoa; Chordata; Actinopteri; Perciformes; Percidae
Exons: 4
Source: RefSeq, a predicted model, not a curated record